This 361-nucleotide transfer RNA is filed under the name uncultured Microcystis sp. Its description in RNAcentral is "partial 16S-23S ribosomal RNA intergenic spacer". The stretch from base 136 to 209 matches the Rfam family "tRNA". Lineage: Bacteria; Bacillati; Cyanobacteriota; Cyanophyceae; Chroococcales; Microcystaceae. The record is from RNAcentral.
AAAGGGAGACCUAAUUCAGGUAAAAGACGAAAAAAAAGUAGUCGCUACCAAGAAUCAAUCCCAAAGGGUCGGAGCGAGGCGAAAUUGGCUUUCAAACUAGGUUCUGGGUUCAAACAAGACCUGAAUCAGGAACAAGGGCUAUUAGCUCAGGUGGUUAGAGCGCACCCCUGAUAAGGGUGAGGUCCCUGGUUCGAGUCCAGGAUGGCCCACCUGCACAGGUGGCAAAAACAAGAGAAGCGAGGAAUCAGCACCUUAUCUUACUUAUAUAGUAAGAGAGAAUGCUGGCUCUGAGUAAAGAGUCCAGAGGAACCUUGAAAACUGCAUAGAGCUAGGUGAAAAAGCCAAAAAAGAAGACCGCAAG